UACGAAGGGGGCUAGCGUUGCUCGGAAUCACUGGGCGUAAAGGGUGCGUAGGCGGGUCUUUAAGUCAGGGGUGAAAUCCUGGAGCUCAACUCCAGAACUGCCUUUGAUACUGAGGAUCUUGAGUUCGGGAGAGGUGAGUGGAACUGCGAGUGUAGAGGUGAAAUUCGUAGAUAUUCGGAAGAACACCAGUGGCGAAGGCGGCUCACUGGCCCGGUACUGACGCUGAGGUGCGAAAGCGUGGGGAGCGAACAGG
Molecule: ribosomal RNA, 253 nt
Filed under: uncultured bacterium
Lineage: Bacteria
Description: partial 16S ribosomal RNA
Rfam family: Bacterial small subunit ribosomal RNA
Source: RNAcentral